AUGUCUACAUACAUUCAUAUGUUGUGUCCAUUUGAAAUGCCUAGAAAGACAAGUAUUUUGGAACGGAGGGAGUACCUGCUGGGGGCCAUGCAAACAGCCAAGUUCAAGAGUCAGCUGUUCCCAGUCUGGGCCCUUGUGCUUGUUAGUUUCCGUUACAAUGUCGACUUUAUCUCUGGCUAUGGUGUUGAUGGCCGCCAUGGGCGACGGUUCAUGGAGUGGAGGAAUGUGGUGAAACUUCUGGGAUCGGCGUUCUUGAACUGGUCACGUGGCUCAAGGUUCACACUUCCACUCUGGUCACUUUGGGCUCUGCAGAUACUAAGGAGCUGGUACAGAUACCAUUCCUAUCUUCUCGCACUCAAUUCUGUCUGGCAUGGUAAGAGUUCAGAGGUCGUUGCUGGCCCUCACACUAGCAACUGGAAACCAGAGGACUGCAACCCAGAGAAUAAUAUGGUAGGAUACAAAUACUUGGUGCAUGGAGAAACCGAUCAGAGAAUCAAAUUCGAGAAGCCUAGGUAUGUCAUGUAUAUUGAUACUGCUCAGAAUGACCAGCAAGCUAAGUGUGGUUCUUGUCCGUGUCAACUGAGAUCAUCGCUGGUCACCCUAGACAAGAUUUGGGGAUGUUGCAGGGACCUGUUACGCCCAGAUAACAGUAAGGGAAAUGACCCAAAGGAUCUCUCUCUGGCCUUCGCCUUGUCCAGACUAGUGCGGUGCAGGCUCGAGGAUGUGACACUGCAACAAAAAUUCUUUAAUAUCAACCGAAAGCUAGUUAAGACUAAGAUCAAGAUUUUGGAAUCUUGGACUCAUAUGAUGACAGACCAAGAUUUUGGAAUCUGCUUCAUAAGCUAA
This 846-nucleotide ribosomal RNA is filed under the name Triticum aestivum (bread wheat). RNAcentral describes it as "partial small subunit ribosomal RNA". The record is from RNAcentral. Lineage: Eukaryota; Viridiplantae; Streptophyta; Magnoliopsida; Poales; Poaceae.